CCUACGGGAGGCAGCAGUGGGGAAUAUUGCACAAUGGGGGAAACCCUGAUGCAGCGACGCCGCGUGAGUGAAGAAGUAUUUCGGUAUGUAAAGCUCUAUCAGCAGGGAAGAAAAUGACGGUACCUGAUCAAGAAGCCCCGGCCAACUUCGUGCCAGCAGCCGCGGGAAUAAGUAGGGGGCAAGCGUUAUACGGAAUUACUGGGUGUAAAGGGAGCGUAGACGGCAGGACAAGUCUGGAGUGAAAAGCCGGGGCUUAACCCCGGAACUGCUUUGGAAACUGUACGGCUAGAGUGCAGGAGAGGUAAGUGGAAUUCCUAGUGUAGCGGUGAAAUGCGUAGAUAUUAGGAGGAACACCAGUGGCGAAGGCGGCUUACUGGACUGUAACUGACGUUGAGGCUCGAAAGCGUGGGGAGCAAACAGGAUUAGAUACCCGUGUAGUC
This 440-nucleotide ribosomal RNA is filed under the name uncultured bacterium. RNAcentral describes it as "partial 16S ribosomal RNA". It matches the Rfam family "Bacterial small subunit ribosomal RNA", at positions 338 to 795 of the family's 1533-position model. The record is from RNAcentral.